UUAAGUUCAGCGGGUAUCCCUACCUUAUCCGAGGUCAACCUUAGAUUUGCGCGAAGGCGCGUGUUUGACAGCUACCUGAGGUCGGUCCCCAGCGAGUUAAUUUCUACUACGCUAGAAUGCCGUUCUCUCAGCCGCUGAUGACUUUGAGGCCCGCCCACGUGGAGACAGAGGCCCAAUACCAAGCAGAGCUUGACGGUUGU
RNAcentral lists this unclassified non-coding RNA (200 nucleotides) under Dothideomycetes sp. RNAcentral describes it as "partial internal transcribed spacer 2". The record is from RNAcentral. Lineage: Eukaryota; Fungi; Ascomycota; Dothideomycetes.